RNAcentral lists this transfer RNA (87 nucleotides) under Paracoccaceae bacterium. RNAcentral's name for it is "Rhodobacteraceae bacterium (activated sludge metagenome) tRNA-Leu". It matches the Rfam family "tRNA". From Rfam's summary of the family: Transfer RNA (tRNA) molecules are approximately 80 nucleotides in length. Their secondary structure includes four short double-helical elements and three loops (D, anti-codon, and T loops). Lineage: Bacteria; Pseudomonadati; Pseudomonadota; Alphaproteobacteria; Rhodobacterales; Paracoccaceae. The record is from RNAcentral. RNAcentral also lists the same sequence under 2 other names.
GCGGCUGUGGCGGAACUGGUAGACGCGCAGCGUUGAGGUCGCUGUGGGGUAACUCCCGUGGAAGUUCGAGUCUUCUCAGCCGCACCA